GGAAGAGGCAAAAGCGGUCAAUUUUGUUCCGUGCCGUAGUGUGUUCUCAAAGUCGAGCCAAAGUCUAUAAAAGCUCAAUUAAAGCAAUUCCGUUCCGUGUGUGUGCGUAGAUCUGUUUAGUGAAAGGUCCGUGGCAGCAUUGGUGAAGCCGACACACUACACCCAUCCGUUUCGAUCGCUUUUGACCCCACGCAUCGGCUGCAAAGAUUCCCGGGGUACACUUGGCCGGAGAAGGUUGCGUACCAUCAAAAGCGCACCUUUGGCAGGCGAAGCCAAACC
This is a long non-coding RNA of Armigeres subalbatus, 279 nucleotides long. RefSeq lists it as uncharacterized. The record is from RefSeq and is a predicted model, not a curated record. NCBI's taxonomy places the organism in Eukaryota, Metazoa, Arthropoda, Insecta, Diptera, Culicidae. The transcript is spliced from 3 exons.